RNAcentral lists this transfer RNA (72 nucleotides) under bacterium. Its description in RNAcentral is "tRNA-Glu". It matches the Rfam family "tRNA". Rfam says of the family: Transfer RNA (tRNA) molecules are approximately 80 nucleotides in length. RNAcentral also lists the same sequence under 1 other name. The record is from RNAcentral.
GGCCCCGUCGUCUAGUGGUUAGGACAUGAGCUUUUCAAGCUUAAAACAGGGGUUCGACUCCCCUCGGGGCUA